UUAGAUAUAAUUAGGGAAAUGAAGCCGUAGAGGAAAUUUCACUGUGCAAAAUCAUAUUUGACGUUUUGAAAUAAUAAGAGUAUUUCAAUAAAUAAGAACACUGGGCAAAAGUGCUAAAAAGCCAAGCACCUUGUAAUUAACCCCCUCCCUGAAAAUUUCCAUGUCCAGUGUGUGCAUGAUCUACAGUCGGCUAAGUCCUGUCCCAACCCUUAAAAAGAAAGUAAUCCGUAAAGUCUCGAGUUUUAGAGCAGUUCCUGCAAUCACUUGCAAUUUAGCAGUGAGUCACUGAAGUUCUACCUUAGCCUUGUGCCCCCUCUUGCUUUGAAAUCUUUACUCUAGCAGGCUCAAUCGUGGGACACAGAAGAGCUUCUGGUGUCCUUCUUUCAGCUGUGGGGGAGACAGAUUUCCAACAGGCUUUCUUAGCACGUCAGCCAUUAUUUUAAAAUCUGGAGCACACACGUAUGUGCUGCACAGUUUCCGAAGUUUAGAACCACACAGCUAAGCUUUGCUUACAUGUUUUGCGAAGGGAGUCUGCGAUCUUAGGAUAACGGCCUUUAAGGACCCCAGUAAAGGGUGAGUAAGUCACCGACGUGCUCCUAGGAAAUCGAGGUGGGGGAGGAAAAUGCUUUGCGAACUUUUGAAUAUUUUUUCAUUUUUCUUGGAAAUUUGUACCUCCUACUGGAAUCUGUAAAAUUACCAAUUCUAAUACACCCUAAAUUGCUGAUAAAAUGCUAUCAAGCACACAAUACGUUCUUUAGAAGGAUAUUAGCUUCCCAGUUUGUGAUGGUACCAUUUUAGAAAUUGUAGAAUUGAGCAACUAAAAUUAAUUCAGCGCCCUCUUCCCUUUGAAAGGUAAUUUUUAUUUAAAAAAAAUUUUUUUAACUUGUGCCAUGCUUUUUUUAUUCCACAUAUAAAGCCAAGAAUCAAGACACGGCUUUUUUUUUUCUUUUUAAAUCAGGAAUAAUGUUUUCUUUAUCUCCAGUACAUACUAUUAAAAUUUUGUUGUUACUACUUUGGAUUGAAAAAUAUUAAUUAUAAUUCAUCAUCUGAAUCAAGGUGAAAUCCUCAUUCUCUUAUGCAUGUUACAUGUAAAUUAUAUGUAAAAAAUACAUAUAUUUAUGACCAAAUACAUUUAUCACAGAUUCCCAGUUGUUAUGCUCCCCUUCUAUUUGAGAGAUAAUAACCCCUUCAGGAUGUUUUUGGGGGUGGUUAGACUCUUUGAUGUCAGUACAAGAUAACUGAAAAAGAGACCAGGCGAGCUUCUGAAGUGCAUUAAAGAUGCUACAUAGUAGCUCCGAGAGGCUCUCCAAGCACAAAUGAGUGCAAGGCUGUAGAGUUAAGUACCCACCAGCAAUGGGAGCAGAGAGCCUCGCCUCGGUCAGCUGCAGGCACACUUAAGUGUGGUCUUUAUAUUAAAAAGAAAGAGGAUUGGAAAGAGGGUAUAGUGAGGAGAUCAGCUGCCUUGGUGGAGACGCUGGUGGCUGUCUACCACUGUCCUGGGGCUGUUUCUGCCCUCAAAAAAGCUUGUGCUACAGCCGGAGUUUCAUUACUGUUGGUAACAAACGAAAGCCAAGUUUGACACAAAACGGAGGGAACCAAAGCAAAAGAUUCGGAAAAUGGCUUCAUUAUGUCUGGGAGGAAAGGAUCCUUUCUAUGGCUGCUUGCUUGCUUGCUUGCAGUUGGUCUAACAAGCUCAGGAUUUUCUCCCAUUGCUUUAUCUCUAUUCGAGUCAGUGAGCUUCUUUCUCAAUUUCCUUCAUAAUCAAUACAUAUCAAUAUAUAUAUAUAUAUAUAUAUAUAUAUAUACACACACACACACACACAUAUACACACAGACAUGUAUAUGUAUAUGUACAUAGUUAAGGGACACAGUUUCAGAUAGGUUUUAUGUAUAAAUAAUCGAGUAAGAAGGUUGCCUUCCCAAGAUAGAAGCACAAGUUCGUAGGAUACAGACGUAGUAAAAUGGACUCCCAAACCUGCACUCUACUUUCAGACAAAGACGGAAGAAAAAAAAAAAAAAAGAAAAAAGAAAGAAAGAAAGAAAGAAAGAAAGAAAGAGAAAGAAAGAAAUCCUAAGCCUGGUUUGCCUUUUCACAGAACACUCAAAGCUGGCUUGCAGCUCCUCUGAAGGGCACAUUGUCAGCAAUGAUUGAAGUGGCAUCUUACCCAGGAGCGGCUGCAGGCUCGAGCUGCCAGGGUUCCCGGCCAGCUUUCUAAAACACCAUUAUUCUUGGACAUGCAAGUCGAACGAGUGAAAACCUGAAUUCUCCCCACCCCCACGAUCAUCCUGCUUGUUUUAACUAGAUUAAGUGCAUCUGUUUACUAAGUCUUCAUAAUGUCCUGGGUACUGAAGAUUUAACGCCAUUAAACGUGCCUUUGUGGAAAGAGGCAAAUCGAAAGUGGAUCCCCGAGGCUUUCUGAGGCUGGACUGUGGGCCAGGGGCCGAACAGAGAAAGCCACGGCUCAAGGAAGGACAUGGAAGGAAGUUGCUGGCUAAAUUCCCAUCAGGCAGAUCUUGGGAGAAA
This 2524-nucleotide long non-coding RNA is filed under the name Mus musculus (house mouse). RNAcentral's name for it is "long non-coding RNA chr15:85665281-85667805". Lineage: Eukaryota; Metazoa; Chordata; Mammalia; Rodentia; Muridae. The record is from RNAcentral.